RNAcentral lists this ribosomal RNA (497 nucleotides) under uncultured bacterium. RNAcentral describes it as "partial 16S ribosomal RNA". It matches the Rfam family "Bacterial small subunit ribosomal RNA", at positions 28 to 507 of the family's 1533-position model. The record is from RNAcentral.
GAUGAACGCUGGCGGCGUGCCUAAUACAUGCAAGUCGAGCGAACGGACGAGAAGCUUGCUUUUCUGAUGUUAGCGGCGGACGGGUGAGUAACACGUGGAUAACCUACCUAUAAGACUGGGAUAACUUCGGGAAACCGGAGCUAAUACCGGAUAAUAUUUUGAACCGCAUGGUUCAAAAGUGAAAGACGGUCUUGCUGUCACUUAUAGAUGGAUCCGCGCUGCAUUAGCUAGUUGGUAAGGUAACGGAUUACCAAGGCAACGAUGCAUAGCCGACCUGAGAGGGUGAUCAGCCACACUGGAACUGAGACACGGUCCAGACUCCUACGGGAGGCAGCAGUAGGGAAUCUUCCGCAAUGGGCGAAAGCCUGACGGAGCAACGCCGCGUGAGUGAUGAAGGUCUUCGGAUCGUAAAACUCUGUUAUUAGGGAAGAACAUAUGUGUAAGUAACUGUGCACAUCUUGACGGUACCUAAUCAGAAAGCCACGGCUAACUACGUG